RNAcentral lists this ribosomal RNA (292 nucleotides) under uncultured bacterium. RNAcentral's name for it is "partial 16S ribosomal RNA". It matches the Rfam family "Bacterial small subunit ribosomal RNA", at positions 505 to 796 of the family's 1533-position model. The record is from RNAcentral.
GUGUCAGCCGCCGCGGUAAGACGGAGGGGGCUAGCGUUGUUCGGAAUUACUGGGCGUAAAGCGCGCGUAGGCGGCCGGUCAAGUUAGGCGUGAAAGGCCUGGGCUCAACCUGGGAACGGCGCUUAAGACUGAUCGGCUGGAGUCCGGGAGAGGGUGGUGGAAUUCCCAGUGUAGAGGUGAAAUUCGUAGAUAUUGGGAGGAACACCGGUGGCGAAGGCGGCCACCUGGCCCGGCACUGACGCUGAGGCGCGAAAGCGUGGGGAGCAAACAGGAUUAGAAACCCCUGUAGUCC